RNAcentral lists this non-coding RNA (76 nucleotides) under Salmo salar (Atlantic salmon). Its record names the gene ssa-mir-192b. RNAcentral also lists the same sequence under 1 other name. The record is from miRBase by way of RNAcentral. Lineage: Eukaryota; Metazoa; Chordata; Actinopteri; Salmoniformes; Salmonidae.
CCUGUCAGUUCUGUAGGCCACUGCUGUGUCUAUCCUACUGAGCACACACAGGGGUUUAUAUGGAGCAAAGGAACUC